UGAAAUCUCAGAUUCAACAACAACAGCACAACCAGUGAACAUACUUAGACUCUAAAUCUCACAGCAGAUCAUAUCGAACAAUUUUUAAACUUCUUAAGAUCUUCACAAUAACUUUUCAAGAUUCUUGAAGUUGAGAUUGACCAUAAUAUGAUCAAAACAUUUCAAAGAACUGAAAGUUUGCACUGGAGCACAGAUGACACCAGGUUCCAGAUGCUAUCAUGAUGCCAAACUGACUUCACUGGGCAGAGGACCCCACCAAUGUGUCCUGGAGCCCCACUUCCCCAGAUCACUAUCCCACUAGGGAAAGAGAGAGACAGGCUGGGAGAUGCACCCCUUUUAUCCUAUGGUGUUGUCAAUAUUUCCAUUUUAUA
Molecule: long non-coding RNA, 371 nt
Organism: Erinaceus europaeus (western European hedgehog)
Lineage: Eukaryota; Metazoa; Chordata; Mammalia; Eulipotyphla; Erinaceidae
Exons: 3
Source: RefSeq, a predicted model, not a curated record